This 9639-nucleotide long non-coding RNA is filed under the name Solanum tuberosum (potato). Its description in RNAcentral is "long non-coding RNA (STUB_LNC006949)". The record is from RNAcentral. Lineage: Eukaryota; Viridiplantae; Streptophyta; Magnoliopsida; Solanales; Solanaceae.
UCAUGGACUCGAGCAAUCGCAGCAACAGUCUGAUACACUUGUUGCAUCGUUGGCCUUUGAUCAGGAAUGAAUUUCAUGCAGUUACUUGCAAGUUCAAGUAGUUGCAUUACCAUAUUAUCAAAUCCUUGGCCUAACAGUAGUUUAUCCACAUCAAGAGGACUGGCAAAAGAGCUGCUCGACAAAUUUAGACUCGAGCAACUCAAUAUGUAAGAUUUCAUCGAGCAAGAUACAUUGUGUGCUAAUGUUACUAUGCACGACAUGGAAAUUUCCACUAUCAUGAAGCCAAGCCAGGGCUUUCGCGACACUAACAACAAUUUUUACCCUUAGAGGGAAGUCCAAGAAUUGUGCCUUGUCGUCAGUUGAAUGCAGCCACUCAUGUAAGUUUCCAUUAGGCAUGUAUUUGUAAACCAGAAGUCGCUCGUCCCUCUCAUAACAAAAUCCGACUAGGGGCACUAAAUUCGGAUGCCUCAAGAUACCUAGAGUUGUGAUCUCCGAAACAAACUCUUCCUCCAAAUCUUCGGAACUUUGGAGCCUCUUUAUGGCAACAGUCCAUCCAUUUGGGACCAGUGCUUUGUACAAUUUCCCCAGCAUUCCGUUCCCGAUUUCAUUGUCUUGGCUGAAAUUCAAAGUCGCUUUUGAUAGUUCCAUAAAACUCAUUCUUGUAACAAUCUUCUCCAGCUUUAAAAUCUGAGGAAAAUAACAUAUCUACCAUUACCACAUUUUAUUUCUCCUCUACAAUAAAAAUUUUUGAUUAAGUAGUUCCCCUUUCGUCGCAAUUUAUCUAACAUAGUUUGACAGGGCACAAAUUUUCAGAAAAAAAAAGUAGUUUUUUAAACUUGUAGUUUAAACGUGCCAUAACACUUGUCUGGCUAUAAAAGCUUGUCACUAAGUGAAAUUGUUUCCAAAUUAGCAUAGUAUAUAAUCAUGCCCUUUAACUUGACUUGGCCUCAUCUGAAAUCUAUGCCCUCCGACUUUAAAUGUGCACAAAUAGAUACUUAAACUUGUAUAUAAUUGAACAGAUAGACAUAAUUACCUUUGGGUCACUGUUUACUUCAUUUCCAUCAAUCACCAUUACCUUUGUUCUCUUGUUGAUCAAGAGAAACAUCUUCUUUACACCAAAAAAAAAAUAUACACCAAGUAAUGUAGAAAGCGACCAACCCGUCACAAAACCACAAGCAAACAGAAUAUGACGGCUUACUACGCGUUCUGUAACACAUAAUUCCAGAGGACUACCACAAAGUCCUGGAUUAUUUGCAUAACUUUCAGCUGGAAAAGCAGCAUUGACAAAAUUUGGCACUGGCCCUGUCAACAUAUUAUCUGCAACAUUAAACAUCCUGAGUCGCUGUAACCAGCAAAUUUCAGGUGGGAUCAGUCCUUCUAGUUUAUUGUUUUCUAAUUUGAGGGAAUUGAGAAAAGAGAAAUUUGAAAUGUCACUUGGGAUAGCGCCUGAGAAUAGGUUGCUCGAGAGAUCAAUGUCUACAGCAAAUGCGAUUAGUUUUGAUAUAUCGGAAGGGAUGGUUCCAUAUAGCUCGUUGUUUGAAAGAUUCAGAGAAGUUAAAGAAGUGCAAUUUUGUAUGCCUCGCGGAAACUCACCUAUUAGUCCCAUGUCUGGAAGACUAAUGGAUACAACUAUGUUCUCAUCGGCAUUCCAGCAUUGUAUUCCUGUAAAUUUGCAUAUAAAACCUUCUGUCUGAUUAUCGAACUUCCAUGUAGAAUUCAAGAUGUUUAAAGGGUCUAUCAACGAAUCUUUAAUCGAUUUCAAGCAAUCGAUAUCACUCUGCACCGCGUUGCAUCUUAGAGAAAAGCUGCAAAAUAGUAGGAAAAAUGGUAGUACUAAGUAAAGAAUGUUGCAGUUACACAUUGUUGAAAUGAAAUUUUUUGUUUAUUUGCUUUGGCAAUUGUGGUGUAAUAUACUAAUUGAUUUUUUGCAAAAAUGGACACCAAUUGACUUGGGUCAAUAAGACGGUAGAAUAAUUCCACCACAUUUUUUUUGAACAUCUUUCACUCCGCAAGUUGGGCCAAGUCAAUAGGAUAUGUUGUACUUGUCUAUAUUAUCUCUUGGGUGCGGUCCUUUUCUGGAUCCAUGACGCCUUAUUCUAAGGGUAGGUCCGUCUCUACUUUUCAAACUUUUCUAUUCAUUUGAAGAUUCAAAGUUAUAAUUAUCGUAUAUUAAUAGAAAAUCGUUGAAGAAAAUUCAUAAACUUCAAAAAAAAAAAAAAAAAUCCUCCCUUGGCUAAUUUUUCCACCCACCCCAUAGAUACUUUAUUCUCAAAAGAAAAUCCCUACUAAGAGAAGACAAUCAUAAGAAUAAGAUUAGCUAUUACUAUAUGAUUAACUUUGUUUAGCAUUUUAAUUCAAGAAAAGAGAAUAAUGAAACAUAUUUAAUAUUUUGUACUCAAUUAAUUAAUCACCUGCAUCUAAGUCAAAGGACAAAGUAUUUUUUGUGAAAAAUAUUCAACUUUUAGUAGUGUACGUUGACUAUUAGUUUCAGUUACCUUUGAAUUUGAAUGAUAAUUAAGAUAUUGUCUCUAGAUCUAAAUAUUAAAUGAUUAAGACACUUUGUUUUUCAUAAUCUAAAUGUAAAUAAUAUAUAAUUCAAAUAAAAAUAAUAUUGGCCGUCACUUUUUUCCAGUCAUCAACAACUAUUUUGAUUAAGUCUCCAAAAGUAUUUACUACUUUUUGUGAAGUCAUCAACAACUAUUUUGACUAGACGAUAUACCAUAAAUUCAAUGUGGUCCAAUUUUGUUAGAAUUAUGCAAAUGAGUUGUACGCCCCGUAGAUCCAUUGGACUUAAGUGAGUAUCUACAAAAUUUCUUAUAUCUAGUGUGUUAUUUCUGUAUUUUUCAUCAAUCAUAAAUAAAGCUAAACUCUGUGUGUAGUAGUAUAUAAAAUGGCAGUUGCCCUGUCCAACAUGUUGUUAGCAACACUAAAUAUGUCGAGUCAAUCUAACAAGUAUAUUUCAGGUGGGAUUGGACCUUCUAGUUUAUUGUUAUUUAAUUUGAGGACAUUAAGAAAAGAUCAAUUUGCAAUGUCAUUUGGGAUCGCGCCUGAGAAUUCAUUUGCUAGAGAUAUCCAAAAAAUUAUAACAAAUCCAAUUAGUUUUGAUAUAGCGGAAGGGAUAGACGUUCCAUAUAGCUCGUUGUUUGGAAGAUCUAGAGAAGUUAAGGAAGAGCAGCCUUGAACGCCUCGUGGAACUCACUAUUAAUCCCAUACCAGGAAAUCUAAGUGUAGUUUUGGAACAUUGGAAAGUCUUUCCAUAUUUCUUAAACUUCGUGUUCAGUCAAAUUACAUCACAUAAAUUGGGACAGAUGGGAGUACUAAGUAAAGAAAGUUGAAGCUGCACAUUGUAAAAGUGAAAGUUUUUUGUUCUUUAUGUUCUUAUGCAAAUUGUUUCCUAGAAAUUUAAGAAGAUUACAACAAAAAUGAAUUUCUUCACCAAGCAAGUGUCGUUGGUAUUAUUCAAACAAGACGUGUAGUUGUAUAUUCGUCUGUAGAUUAAAUUCGAUAUGUCUAUCUGAAAGGUGAAAAGUAUCUGACAAGAGCUCGCCUUGCUUCAUUUUCCCCUUCUUUAGCAAUGAUAUUUUUGUUAUCGCAAGUCAAGAUUCACAUAAAAGGAUGGGACAUAAAACGAAGCAUUUGUGAUAAUGAUGAUGACAAAUGCUUNNNNNNNNNNNNNNNNNNNNNNNNNNNNNNNNNNNNNNNNNNNNNNNNNNNNNNNNNNNNNNNNNNNNNNNNNNNNNNNNNNNNNNNNNNNNNNNNNNNNNNNNNNNNUGGUUUGAGCCAAAGCUACACGUCCCUUUGGUGGCUCCGCCCCUGCUUCUAGUCCACGUGCAAUUGUAUUUCAGAGUCCUCUGUUUGGUCAUGGACUCGAGCAAUCGCAGCAACAGUCUGAUACACUUGUUGCAUCGUUGGCCUUUGAUCCGGAAUAAAUUUCAUGCAAUCACUUGCAAGUUCAAGUAGUUGCAUUACCAUAUUAUCAAAUCCUUGGCCUAACAGUAGUUUAUCCACAUCAAGAGGACUGGCAAAAGAGCUGCUCGACAAAUUUAGACUCGAGCAACUCAAUAUGUAAGAUUUUUUCCUCGUUAAAAGCUCGAGAAGCACAACCCCAAAUCGAUAAACAUCUUUUUUAUAUGUUGUAAAGUCUAAACACUCGACUAUUGGAAAUAGACUCAAGUUUGAAUCUAUGUCAUUUGUUUUUGCAAGUGUUGCCUCCCAAAAAUUGGAUAACUUAGGAUCAAAAUUUUCAUUGAGCAAGAUACAUUGUGUGCUUAUGUUACUAUGCACAACAUGGAAAUUUCCACCAUCAUGAAGCCAAGUCAGGGCUUUUGCGACACCUAAAACAAUUUUAACCCUUAGAUUAAAGUCCAAGAGUCUUGCCUUGUCGUCGGUUGAAUGCAACCACUCAUGUAAGUUUCCAUUAGGCAUGUAUUUGUAAACCAGAAUUCGCUCGUCCCUCUCAGAACAAAAGCCGAUUAAAGGCACCAAAUUCGGAUGCCUCAGACUACCUAGAGUUGUGAUCUCGGAAACAAACUCUUCCUCCAAAUCCUCUGAUACAUGGAACCUCUUUAUGGCAACUGUCCAUCCAUUUGGGACCAGUGCUUUGUACACUUUCCCUAGCAUUCCGUUCCCGAUUUCAUUGUCUUGGCUGAAAUUCAAAGUCACUUUUGAUAGUUCCAGAAAACUCAUUCUUGUAACAAUCUUCUCCAUCUUUAAAAUCUGAGGAAGAGAACAUAGCUACCAUAUUUAGCAAUAGUUUGAUUAAGUAGUACCCCUUUCGUCUCAAUAUAUCUGACAUAGUUUGAUUGGACAAAAAUUUUAAGACAAAAGAAGAAUUUUUUUUAAACUUGUAGUCUUAAACAUCCCAUAACACUUGUAUGCCUAUAAAAACUUGUGACUAAGAGUAAAAUGAUAACUUUAAGGAGGCGUUUGGCCAUAGAUUCUAAAUAUUUUUCAAAGCGUAAUGUUUACCUUUGGAUCGUUGUUUACUUCUUCUCGUUGAGGCGAUUCAUUUCCAUCAAUCACCAUUACCUUUGUUCUCUUGUUGAUGAAUAGAAGCAUCUUCUUUACACCAGGUAAACCUAAGAAAAAAAGAUAUAUACCAAGUACAGUAAAAAGUGACCAACCAGUCACAAAACCACAAGCAAACUGUACACGACGGUUCAAUACAGUACUUAACAGAAUAUGAUGGAACCCGAUGCGUUUUGUAACACAUGCUUUCAGAGGACUACCACAAAGUCCUGCAUUAUUUGCAUAACUUUCAGGUGGAAAAGUGGCAUUGAUAAACCUUCGCACUGGCCCUGUCAACAUGUUGUUGGCAACAUUAAAGUUCUUGAGUCGAUUUAACGAGCCAAUUUCAGCUGGGAUCGGACCGUCUAGUUUAUUGCUGUCUAAUCUGACGGAAUUAAGAAAAGAGCAAUUUGCAAUGUUACUUGGGAUCGCGCCUGACAAUAGGUUGCUUGAGAGAUCAACCAUUAUAAUAAAUUCAAUUAAUUUUGAUAUAUCCGAAGGGAUGGUUCCAUAUAUCUCGUUGCUUGAAAGAUCUAGAGAAGUUAUAGAAGUGCAAUUUUUUAUGCCUCGCGGAAACUCACCUUUUAGUCUCAUGUCUGAAAGACUAAUGGAUAAAACUCUGCUCUCAUCAUCAUGCCAGCAUUGUAUUCCUGCAAAUCUGCAUAUGAAACCUUCUGUCUGUUUAUCGAACUUCCACGUAGUAUUCAAGAAAUUAAAAGGGUCUUCCAACGAAUCUUUUAUCGACAUCAAACAAUCUAGAGAAAAGCUGGAAAGUAGUAGGAAAAAUGGUAGUACUAAGUAAAGAAUAAUGUUGCAGUUGCACAUUAUGGAAAUGGAUUUUUUUUGUUUUAGAGUAUCCAUUGACUUGAUUAGAAGGAACAUGAAAUUUAUUGAGUUAUUUGUGGUGUAAUAUAGUACUAAUUAUUUUUUGCAAAAAUGGACACCAGUUGACUUGGGUCAAUUCCAUAUAAGGUAGAUUAAUUCCAACACAUUUUUCUCAAUAUCUUUGACUCCACAACUUGGGCUAAGUCGGUAGGAUAUGUUGUCUAGGUAUCGUCCUUUUCUAAAUCCAUGAAAAAACUGAGAUUAGAACAAGGCAAAAUUUAAGUGUCUAAAUGAGAUCUCCGAUCAAGAUUUUGUUGAGGUUUAUUUUCCCUGAUUUCUUACCAUAAAUAGGUUUUUCUUUAGGAAAAAGUUUUAAUAUUUUGAGUAGUCUUUUUCAUGUAGGAAAGGUUUUCGGAUUCUAUAAAUAUAGUCUUGUUCCUUCUAACUUAAUCAGCAUACACAAUGUAGUCCUAGGGUUUUGAGAGUUUCGGUUAUGGGGGAGAAUUUGUGAACCUCCUUGUAUUGCGAGUGAAUUGGUUGAGGUUAUUUCUCUCUAUAUUUUGUACUCUCAUAUUUGUAGUGGAUUGCUCAUUUGCUUUGUGGAUAUAGGUCAACUGAUCAAAUCACGUUAAAUUUUUGUGUCUUUUGGUAUAUUUCUUGUUUGUCUUCUUACUCAUGGUCUUUCAAGGUUUCUUUGCUAGCUUCCGCAUUACACCUAAUUAUUUUCGAUCCUAACAGUUUUAAGUGUUUGACCUUUUCUUUUUUGGUUUCUCGUCCGGUGGUCGUAGCCCACAUUAAAGCUCUGACUAUAUUCGGAUUACGCACUACAGGAUCCAUUUGAAGAUGGCGAGACCUUUGAUUAAAGAUGAAGCACUCAGACCACCAGUGCACCACAACUCAAGUUAAUAGUCGUGUUUGACCUUUAAUCAUUUAACAACUAUUAUUAUUAUGUGUCUCACAUGCAUCAACAAUUUUUUUGGGUCCAUCCUCACAUUGACGGCGGCUCACAAUUUUCCAUUUACAUACAUUCUCACUUGCACAUUGUUUUUCAUUGACACGGAAAUACAUCAACACAUUGGGAUUUGUCAUUUGUGAGGAUACUAUUGGUCUGUGGCAAUAAAAAUAUCUGAAAUCUUUUCUUCUUUUGUGCGGAUUUAGGAGAACUCAAGUGUCCUUGACAAUAUCAUAUCAUACUAUAUUAUUAUAAGAUAUAUGAUAAAUACUACUUAUAUAUCCUAUCAUAUCAUAUUUUCAUAUAUAUAUAUAUAUAUAUAUAUAUAUAUAGAUAUUUUAAUUACAUAAUGGUAGAAUUUGAGUGCUUAAGCCCUUUAAUAAUUAAAUUAUUAUUUUCUUAUAAAUGAGUAUAUUGAUAUUGUUUUUAAUCAUAAUCAUAAUUCUCAUAACGGAAAAAUUUGAAAAGUUAUGAUAGAUAAAAUAAUGUAUAUAUCAUCAUCAUAUCAUAUCAUCAUUAUCAAUCAUAUCAUUCAUAUAUUUUAUUAUUAUUAUUUUAUUUUAUUUUAUAUUACUAAAAGUGGAAAACUCCAAAGUGCAAAGUUGGAUUAUCAUUCUACCCCUACAUUCAAUCAUAUUAUUAUAAAAUAUUUAAUUAAUUAAAUAUUAAGUAGCUAAUCAUAUUAUAUUAUACUAAAAAUGAGAAGCUAUUAAAUUAAUAUAAUUCAUUCUUUUAAAAAACAAUGCAUUAAGAAUAUGAAGGUUUACUUUGUAUGGUUCAAUAAUAUGGGCUUGAUUCAAAUGCAGGUGUAAUGUAAUUUUUCAACAUCAAUGCAUUGAUUUCCUUAAUUAAUUUGAAAAAAUGAAUAAGUAAUUUGAAAAGUUACCUGUCAUGUAUAAUUAUAGAUCAGAUUCAUAUGUAGCAGUAUAAAAUGUAUUUGAACAGUCAUUAUAUUAUAUUACACUAAAUACUAAAAGUGGAAAAAUAACUUAUUCAAUAAUCACAAUAAAUAAAUAUUUAAAGAAAUGUGAGAAGCCACUCUUGUAAAUCCAAGAAUCACUAAAUUAUAAUAUGUGUUUAAAGGAUAAUUAUAUAGUAGUAUUUAUUAGGAGUGUUCUUUACAUUUGUUACGUUGAAUUUCUUUUGGAACUCUAAACAUCAACAAAUUAAUUAUAAGCAGUUUCAAUUACAUGUAUCUAGUUACAAUUUAUCUUCUAUUGGAGACACCAAUAGUCUUGGUUGCUAAUUGAUGAUGUGGAGGAAUUAAUAUCUUCUCACAAGAUAAAUGUACAAAAAUAUACUUUGAUAGUUGUGAAUAUUAUUCAUUAUAAAUUAAAGAAUUUGAUGAAGUGGCUAAUAGGUUGAGUAUAGUCAUCGACGUUCUCCUCUCACACGAACGACACAGGUAAAUCAUAUUUUUGAUGUUCUUGAGCUUCUCUUUUAAUCAACUAUUUCUAUUUCUUCCACAUACUUAAAAGUAUUGUCCCGAUUAAAAAUUUGCAUACUUUAUGUCAUUAUAUUUCUCUUUGUAGAUGGACUAUAAAUCUAUCACCAGUCUGUGCAAUUCUUUUACAGAAUCUUAUCGAAAAUUGAUAUGAGAUGAAGUUGAAAGGAUCAUUCUUGACCCAUCUGUUUUAUCGGGAGAGUCAGGUAAGGCUAAAAGGGUUCUUUCAAACCCUCUUUAACUGAAAAUUACAAUAUUUAUACAUAUGGUUUAAAUAGUUUUUUAUGUAUAUAUAGUAGAGGUUGAACCUUCGUGUGUUUAGUUCUUCAUAUUUUAAAUCCCUUUUAGUGAAAACUUAAGUCUGGCACUAUUUUAUUUAAUAUGUUUUUCUCACUGUUGUUUCUAUUAUUAAUGUCUUAAAAUCAUAUUUUAUGUGGUCACUUUUGUACUAAAUGACUCAUGGUUCAUGUUGACUAUUUGUUGCAAUUUAGUGAUUUUUUACAUAUAGAUUUAUGCUCAAUAUUGGAAGUGUCGGAAACUAUAAUUUUGAAUCAAUCCUAACUUGGAUACACGUGCAACACACGUAUCCAGAAACCAGUUAUACUAUAAGUGGGAAGAAUUUUAGGCAAAAGUUAGAUUACUAUUUUACCCCUACACUAAAUCAUAAUCUAAUUAAUUAGUAAUAUUAGUAAACUUGGGUCGUUCCCCGAACCCUACGCGAAAACUGUUACCUGAAGAAACAAGUCUUCCACACCAUCUUCUAUUAGAGAGCUUUGCUAUUAGUUUCGAUUAUGCCCGAAUCUGAAUGUGCAUCUCAAUGAUUAAUUUAUUGUGAUUAGAUUUGAAUAUUAAAUGAUUAACAUUGUUUGUCUUUUAAUAUCUAAAUGUGCAUGAUUUAUUUAUUUAUUAACAUAAUAAAUAGGGAAAAGGGUCAAAACAAGUUCCAAGCUGAUAAAUUAUUUAUACAUAUGAAAUGGUUCUUCAUCACAAAUACAUUGGUUUGAGCCAAAGCUACACGUCCCUUUGGUGGCUCCGCCCCUGCUUGUAGUCCAAGUGCAAUUGUAUUUCAGAACCCCCUGUUUGGUCAUGGACUCGAGCAAUCGCAGCAACAGUCUGAUACACUUGUUGCAUCGUUGGCCUUUGAUCCGGAAUAAAUUUCAUGCAAUCACUUGCAAGUUCAAGUAGUUGCAUUACCAUAUUAUCAAAUCCUUGCCCUAACAGUACUUUAUCAACAUCAAGAGGACUGGCAAAAGAGCUGCUCGACAAAUUUAGACUCGAGCAGCUCAAUAUGUAAGAUUCUUUCCUCGUUAAAAGCUCGAGAAGCACAACCCCAAAUCGAUAAACAUCUUUUUUAUAUGUUGUAAAGUCUAAACACUCGACUAUUGGAAAUAGACUCAAGUUUGAAUCUAUG